This 397-nucleotide ribosomal RNA is filed under the name uncultured bacterium. RNAcentral's name for it is "partial 16S ribosomal RNA". It matches the Rfam family "Bacterial small subunit ribosomal RNA", at positions 338 to 732 of the family's 1533-position model. The record is from RNAcentral.
CCUACGGGUGGCAGCAGUGAGGAAUAUUGGUCAAUGGACGCGAGUCUGAACCAGCCAAGUCGCGUGACGGAAGACUGUCCUAUGGGUUGUAAACCUCUUUUAUCUGGGAGUAAAACACGCUAUGCGUAGCCUUUCGUAUGUACCCGAUGAAAAAGCAUCGGCUAACUCCGUGCCAGCAGCCGCGGUAAUACGGAGGAUACGAGCGUUAUCCGGAUUUAUUGGGUUUAAAGGGGGCGUAGGUGGAUUGUUAAGUCAGUUGUGAAAAUUUGCGGCUCAACCGUAAUAAUGCAGUUGAAACUGGCAUUCUUGAGUGCGUUAGAGGUGUGCGGAAUGCGUGGUGUAGCGGUGAAAUGCUUAGAUAUCACGAAGAACUCCGAUUGCGAAGGCAGCUCACUGG